Molecule: transfer RNA, 71 nt
Filed under: Idiocranium cf. russeli BMNH 2008.409
Lineage: Eukaryota; Metazoa; Chordata; Amphibia; Gymnophiona; Indotyphlidae
Description: tRNA-Gln
Rfam family: tRNA
About the family: Transfer RNA (tRNA) molecules are approximately 80 nucleotides in length. Their secondary structure includes four short double-helical elements and three loops (D, anti-codon, and T loops).
Source: RNAcentral
UAGAAAAUGGUGUAAUGGAAGCACGAAGGAUUUUGAUUUCUUUUAUACGGGUUCGAAUCCUGUUUUUCUAA